This 490-nucleotide long non-coding RNA is filed under the name Homo sapiens (human). RNAcentral describes it as "non-protein coding lnc-DUSP1-5:1". Lineage: Eukaryota; Metazoa; Chordata; Mammalia; Primates; Hominidae. The record is from RNAcentral.
CAUCGCGGUGGCGGUGCUCUACCUGGCCCUGCAGGUCUACGGAGUUGAGAUUUAUACCAUGGACACAGAGAUCCCCUAAGGUCCUGGCCCAGGCCUGUCCAAAGAGAAGCCCAGGAUGGUCGGCUGCCUGGGGACAUUGCCACCACGUCGCCAUGACGGCUGGUCCUCAGAGGACCAGCUGGGAGGACUGGUUGUGCUGCUGGAGAAGGGCUGGAGAAGGCGAUGGCAUGCUGCCGCUUUGACAGUCCCUAGCAGUCGCGGUGCAGGUGAUGGGAGCCGCGCCUCCAGCGGCCAGGUCGGGAGUGCACUGCGUGCAGCUGAUCCAAGGCAGCCAUAUCUGCUUUUGUCCUUUGAGAGGACUCUGACUACAAUAGAGGCCUGACAUCAAUGAAAGGAAAAUCAUGAAAUCGAUGAGACUGAAUCCCUAGGGAUUUUUUAAAAGCCAGAUCUAUAGCGAGAAUGAAUGUGCAACAUGGCUGAAAUCUAUUUU